AUAUAUAUAUAUAUAUAUAUAUAUAUAUGUAUAUAGUGUCUAUUUUACACCACUGAAUCUAUGUGGUUCCAUUUGGACCCAAGAUACCAAACUUAUUUUGUCGACGUUGGCGGAGUGCGUCAAGCCUGCAUUUCACCUCCGCCAUGGGUCGGCCUGUUAUUGCACCAUCUCCUGGAUCGGCCCACGCAUU
Molecule: small nuclear RNA, 190 nt
Organism: Dermacentor andersoni
Lineage: Eukaryota; Metazoa; Arthropoda; Arachnida; Ixodida; Ixodidae
Product: U2 spliceosomal RNA
Source: RefSeq, a predicted model, not a curated record